The sequence is a small nuclear RNA, 180 nucleotides long. Its record names the gene U2. It matches the Rfam family "U2 spliceosomal RNA". Rfam says of the family: U2 is a small nuclear RNA (snRNA) component of the spliceosome (involved in pre-mRNA splicing). Complementary binding between U2 snRNA (in an area lying towards the 5' end but 3' to hairpin I) and the branchpoint sequence (BPS) of the intron results the bulging out of an unpaired adenosine, on the BPS, which initiates a nucleophilic attack at the intronic 5' splice site, thus starting the first of two transesterification reactions that mediate splicing. The record is from Ensembl.
AUCGCUUCUCUGCCUUUUGGCUAAGAUCAAGUAUAGUAUCUGUUCUUAUCAGUGAAUUUUUUUUUUAUGGGCAGUGGUGGCCUAGCGGUGGUGGUGGCCCCGUAAUCAGAAGGUUGCCGGUUCAAAUCCUGAUCCGCCAAGGUACCACUGAGGUGCCACUGAGCAAAGCACCGUCCUCAC